GUGGAUUAGAUACCCUGGUAGUCCACGCCGUAAACGGUGGAUGCUGGAUGUGGGGCCCGUUCCACGGGUUCCGUGUCGGAGCUAACGCGUUAAGCAUCCCGCCUGGGGAGUACGGCCGCAAGGCUAAAACUCAAAGAAAUUGACGGGGGCCCGCACAAGCGGCGGAGCAUGCGGAUUAAUUCGAUGCAACGCGAAGAACCUUACCUGGGCUUGACAUGUUCCCGACGAUCCCAGAGAUGGGGUUUCCCUUCGGGGCGGGUUCACAGGUGGUGCACGGCCGUCGCCAACU
RNAcentral lists this ribosomal RNA (289 nucleotides) under uncultured bacterium. RNAcentral's name for it is "partial 16S ribosomal RNA". It matches the Rfam family "Bacterial small subunit ribosomal RNA", at positions 773 to 1060 of the family's 1533-position model. The record is from RNAcentral.